Molecule: ribosomal RNA, 483 nt
Filed under: uncultured bacterium
Lineage: Bacteria
Description: bacterial SSU rRNA
Rfam family: Bacterial small subunit ribosomal RNA
Source: RNAcentral
AACGAACGUUGGCGGCGUGGAUGAGGCAUGCAAGUCGAACGUGAAAGCCGCAAGGUGAGUAGCGUGGCGGACGGGCGAGUAACACGUAAUCAAGCUGCCUGCGAGACGGGGAUAACUUCGGGAAACCGAAGCUAAGACCCGAUGGUCUACCGAGACUGCAUGGUUUUUGGUAGUAAAUGGGCGGGAUCCUUCGGGAUCGCCUGCUCGCAGAGGUGAUUGCGGCCCAUCAGCUAGUUGGUAGGGUAAUGGCCUACCAAGGCAACGACGGGUAGCCGGCCUAAGAGGGUGGUCGGCCGCACUGGGACUGAGACACUGCCCAGACUCCUACGGGAGGCUGCAGUCGAGAAUCUUCCGCAAUGGGCGAAAGCCUGACGGAGCGACGCCGCGUGGAGGACGAAGGCCUCGGUUGUAACGUACUGUCACGAGUUAAGAAGGACGCGAUGCGCGAACAGCGCAGGCGUUUGACGUAAGCUCGAGAGGAAG